UUCAAAUUGAGAGUUUGAUCCUGGCUCAGGACGAACGCUGGCGGCGUGCCUAAUACAUGCAAGUCGAGCGAGCUGAAUUCAAAGAUUCCUUCGGGAUGAUUUGUUGGACGCUAGCGGCGGAUGGGUGAGUAACACGUGGGCAAUCUGCCCUAAAGACUGGGAUACCACUUGGAAACAGGUGCUAAUACCGGAUAACAACAUGAAUCGCAUGAUUCAAGUUUGA
This 223-nucleotide ribosomal RNA is filed under the name Lactobacillus delbrueckii subsp. bulgaricus. RNAcentral describes it as "16S rRNA. Bacterial SSU". It matches the Rfam family "Bacterial small subunit ribosomal RNA", at positions 1 to 204 of the family's 1533-position model. Lineage: Bacteria; Bacillati; Bacillota; Bacilli; Lactobacillales; Lactobacillaceae. The record is from RNAcentral.